RNAcentral lists this ribosomal RNA (454 nucleotides) under uncultured bacterium. RNAcentral describes it as "bacterial SSU rRNA". It matches the Rfam family "Bacterial small subunit ribosomal RNA", at positions 340 to 786 of the family's 1533-position model. The record is from RNAcentral.
UACGGGAGGCAGCAGUAGGGAAUCUUCCGCAAUGGACGAAAGUCUGACGGAGCAACGCCGCGUGAACGAUGAAGGCUUUCGGGUCGUAAAGUUCUGUGUUAGGGAGACAAGUACCGGAGUAACUGCCGGUACCUUGACGGUACCUAACCAGAAAGCCACGGCUAACUACGUGCCAGCAGCCGCGGUAAUACGUAGGUGGCAAGCGUUGUCCGGAAUUAUUGGGCGUAAAGCGCGCGCAGGCGGUCCUUUUAAGUCUGAUGUGAAAGCCCACGGCUCAACCGUGGAGGGUCAUUGGAAACUGGGGGACUUGAGUGCAGAAGAGGAGAGUGGAAUUCCACGUGUAGCGGUGAAAUGCGUAGAGAUGUGGAGGAACACCAGUGGCGAAGGCGACUCUCUGGUCUGUAAACUGACGCUGAGGCGCGAAAGCGUGGGGAGCGAACAGGGAUUAGAUACC